AAUUCACCUCUGCAGCAGCCGCUGGCAAAGAAAGGAGACGAAGGGCAAGGGAAGAGGAGCUGCGGCCAGCCGCCGCCGCCGCCGCCGCCGGGAGAUUCCCCGGCUCCCAGUCACAGCACUGGCUGUAGUCCCGGUGCUUGGAAGAGCAGGCUGACUGAAAAAAGCCCAGUCUGCACGGAUAUGGGCGGCAGGGGGCCGCGGGAUAAGCGAGGAGGGAGAAAUGUGAGACUUUAGAGCUGGAGAGGACCUUUGAGGCCACCUAGCAAAUAGCUCUGAACCGUGGUGUCAGAUUCCAACUGGGCCCAGGAUUCCCUGACCUUGGCAGUCUUAAUGCAGACUUGUAGAGAGUCACCAGCCUCUUGGCCCUGGGCAAGGAACAGUUGAUGGCAGAGGGCAGAUUUGAGAAGGGGGAUGGGCAAGAAACACUGUACCCCAGCUGCCUUCUGAGCUCCCUCAAACAACUGCGAUCAGUAGUGAAGAUUCCACAAGACAAUGGCUUUCAAGAACUUCAUAACCACCCAGCUUUAUCAAAUAAUUUUCAGGAGGAAGAGAACAAUGGGGUGAGAAGAUGGGAAGUGAGACUUCUCAGAGAUGUACACCCCAAAGCGACACAAGUUUCCGGAACAACGAGCAUGCCAUCUGGAAUAAAAAGGGUU
Molecule: long non-coding RNA, 656 nt
Organism: Phascolarctos cinereus (koala)
Lineage: Eukaryota; Metazoa; Chordata; Mammalia; Diprotodontia; Phascolarctidae
Source: RefSeq, a predicted model, not a curated record